AAUGGAAGUAUGACUAAUCAAAUUUUUCUUUCUGAUUUUCAGCUUUUUCCACUUGAAAAAAAUUCAAAUCCAACUAAAAAUGCUAAAGAUCAGGAGGAAAAAGUUGAUUUGUCAUCCUCCCAUU
This is a non-coding RNA of Gossypium hirsutum (cotton), 124 nucleotides long. The record is from Rfam. NCBI's taxonomy places the organism in Eukaryota, Viridiplantae, Streptophyta, Magnoliopsida, Malvales, Malvaceae.